AAUAUUUGACAAUGGGGGGAACCCUGAUGCAGCCAUGCCGCGUGUGUGAAGAAGGUCNNNGGAUUNUCAAGCACUUUAAGUUGNGAGNAAGAGUUGUAGGCUAAUACCUUGCAAUUUUGACGUUACCAACAGAAUAAGCACCGUCUAACUUCGUGCCAGCAGCCGCGGUAAUACGAAGGGUGCAAGCGUUAAUCGGAAUUACUGGGCGUAAAGCGCGCGUAGGUGGUUUGAUAAGUUGGAUGUGAAAGCCCCGGGCUCAACCUGGGAAUUGCAUCCAAAACUGUCUGACUAGAGUAUGGCAGAGGGUGGUGGAAUUUCCUGUGUAGCGGUGAAAUGCGUAGAUAUAGGAAGGAACACCAGUGGCGAAGGCGACCACCUGGGCUAAUACUGACACUGAGGUGCGAAAGCGUGGGGAGCAAACAGG
This 424-nucleotide ribosomal RNA is filed under the name uncultured bacterium. Its description in RNAcentral is "partial 16S ribosomal RNA". It matches the Rfam family "Bacterial small subunit ribosomal RNA", at positions 360 to 776 of the family's 1533-position model. The record is from RNAcentral.